AUGUGCUGGAGAUGAAGCUGGAGCUCCUCUCCAUCACUCUGCAGCUCCUCUCCAUCACUCUGC
Molecule: microRNA precursor, 63 nt
Organism: Gallus gallus (chicken)
Lineage: Eukaryota; Metazoa; Chordata; Aves; Galliformes; Phasianidae
Source: Ensembl